RNAcentral lists this ribosomal RNA (388 nucleotides) under uncultured bacterium. Its description in RNAcentral is "bacterial SSU rRNA". It matches the Rfam family "Bacterial small subunit ribosomal RNA", at positions 29 to 408 of the family's 1533-position model. The record is from RNAcentral.
AAUGAACGCUGGCGGCGCGCCUAAUACAUGCAAGUCGAGCGAGAAGACGUAGCAAUACGUUUGUAAAGCGGCGGACGGGUGAGGAAUACAUGGGUAACCUACCCUCGAGUGGGGAAUAACUAGCCGAAAGGUUAGCUAAUACCGCGUACGCUCCUUGGACUUCGGUUCAGGGAGGAAAGCGAUACCGUGGGUAUCGCGCUCUUGGUUGGGCUCAUGUCCUAUCAGCUUGUUGGUGAGGUAACGGCUCACCAAGGCUUCGACGGGUAGCUGGUCUGAGAGGACGAUCAGCCACACUGGCACUGCGACACGGGCCAGACUCCUACGGAGGCAGCAGUAAGGAAUAUUGCGCAAUGGGCGAAAGCCUGACGCAGCGACGCCGCGUGGGGGA